GGCUGAUCCCAAACCCAAACCAGAAAGCGACCGCAGUAAUGGAGCCGCAAGAGAUGAAAACAAAUGAAUACUUCUACUCGGAUGUAGAUCCGUACCUCGAUAUGGAGUAUGCAUCAGCAAUGGACGCCCGAUUCGGCGGGCACACCGACCGCGCGGUGCCGGUGCAGGCCGAUGUGGCGGCGGCGGCUCCGCCGCCGCCGCAUCAUGUUCUGGCGCCGGAGGGCGUUGUGGAGCUCGACUUCACCAAGCCGAGCUACAGCUCCUACUCUGGACAUUCAUUCAGUCACAGUUUGUCUUCGUCCGAGGUGGGGGUGGUGCCGGACGGUGGCGGCGGCGGGGUGAUGGGGGACGUCACGAAUCCGUAUGGGGUUGGCGGCCCGGUGGAGAGGCCGACGGUGGCGGUGGCGAUGGAUAGGGAGGCGAGGGUGAUGAGGUACAGGGAGAAGAGGAAGAACCGACGGUUUGAGAAGACUAUCAGGUAUGCGUCGAGGAAGGCGUAUGCGGAGACAAGGCCGAGGAUCAAGGGGAGGUUUGCGAAGAGGACGGAGAUUGAGGCGGAGGUGGACCGGUAUUAUACUACUGCUGUUGCGGUGGCGGCGACGUCGUUCAUGGUGGACAAUGGGUAUGGUGUUGUGCCGACGUUCUGACGGGCUUGGUUGGGUCUCUGGCGAGCCGGAGCUCGUUGUAAGAUGUAUGAUUUUCUUUGCUUCUACCUCCUCUUUUGACCUUGCUACCGUGUAUAUUGUUUACUGCUUUUUAAAUGACUGUUUUUCA
Molecule: unclassified non-coding RNA, 774 nt
Filed under: Hevea brasiliensis (rubber tree)
Lineage: Eukaryota; Viridiplantae; Streptophyta; Magnoliopsida; Malpighiales; Euphorbiaceae
Source: RNAcentral